RNAcentral lists this long non-coding RNA (224 nucleotides) under Homo sapiens (human). Its description in RNAcentral is "HSALNT0176221". The record is from RNAcentral. Lineage: Eukaryota; Metazoa; Chordata; Mammalia; Primates; Hominidae.
ACUUGGGGCCCUUCAGCUUUCCUUCAGGUCCUUCAAUAUUCACAUCUGGAACUUCAACACCCACCUUGGGUCCUGAGAUGUCCACAUCAGCCUUGGGCAGGUUCACAUCCACUUCUGGGCCCUCUGCUUUGAACCCUGGCACACUGAAUUUGGGCAUUUUCAUCUUGGGCAUCUUCAAGUGCCAGUCUGGGCCAUGAACAUCCACAUCUGGGGCAUCAAUGUCC